RNAcentral lists this ribosomal RNA (253 nucleotides) under uncultured bacterium. RNAcentral's name for it is "partial 16S ribosomal RNA". It matches the Rfam family "Bacterial small subunit ribosomal RNA", at positions 524 to 776 of the family's 1533-position model. The record is from RNAcentral.
UACGGGGGGGGUAAGCGUUGUUCGGAAUUACUGGGCGUAAAGGGCUCGUAGGCGGCCAACUAAGUCAGACGUGAAAUCCCUCGGCUUAACCGGGGAACUGCGUCUGAUACUGGAUGGCUUGAGAUUGGGAGAGGGAUGCGGAAUUCCAGGUGUAGCGGUGAAAUGCGUAGAUAUCAGGAGGAACACCGGUGGCGAAGGCGGGUCUCUGGGCCGAUACUGACGCUGAGGAGCGAAAGCGUGGGGAGCGAACAGG